This 583-nucleotide ribosomal RNA is filed under the name uncultured bacterium. RNAcentral's name for it is "partial 16S ribosomal RNA". It matches the Rfam family "Bacterial small subunit ribosomal RNA", at positions 355 to 936 of the family's 1533-position model. The record is from RNAcentral.
UGGGGAAUUUUGGACAAUGGGCGCAAGCCUGAUCCAGCCAUGCCGCGUGCGGGAAGAAGGCCUUCGGGUUGUAAACCGCUUUUGUCAGGGAAGAAAUCUUCUGAGUUAAUACCUCGGGAGGAUGACGGUACCUGAAGAAUAAGCACCGGCUAACUACGUGCCAGCAGCCGCGGUAAUACGUAGGGUGCAAGCGUUAAUCGGAAUUACUGGGCGUAAAGCGUGCGCAGGCGGUUUUGUAAGACAGAGGUGAAAUCCCCGGGCUCAACCUGGGAACUGCCUUUGUGACUGCAAGGCUUGAGUGCGGCAGAGGGGGAUGGAAUUCCGCGUGUAGCAGUGAAAUGCGUAGAUAUGCGGAGGAACACCGAUGGCGAAGGCAAUCCCCUGGGCCUGCACUGACGCUCAUGCACGAAAGCGUGGGGAGCAAACAGGAUUAGAUACCCUGGUAGUCCACGCCCUAAACGAUGUCAACUGGUUGUUGGGAAGGUUCCUUCUCAGUAACGUAGCUAACGCGUGAAGUUGACCGCCUGGGGAGUACGGCCGCAAGGUUGAAACUCAAAUGAAUUGACGGGGUCAUAGCUGUUUU